UGGGGAAUUUUGGACAAUGGGGGAAACCCUGAUCCAGCCAUCCCGCGUGUGCGAUGAAGGCCUUCGGGUUGUAAAGCACUUUUGGCAGGAAAGAAACGUCAUGGGUUAAUACCCCGUGAAACUGACGGUACCUGCAGAAUAAGCACCGGCUAACUACGUGCCAGCAGCCGCGGUAAUACGUAGGGUGCAAGCGUUAAUCGGAAUUACUGGGCGUAAAGCGUGCGCAGGCGGUUCGGAAAGAAAGAUGUGAAAUCCCAGAGCUCAACUUUGGAACUGCAUUUUUAACUACCGGGCUAGAGUGUGUCAGAGGGAGGUGGAAUUCCGCUUGUAGCAGUGAAAUGCGUAGAUAUGCGGAGGAACACCGAUGGCGAAGGCAGCCUCCUGGGAUAACCCUGACGCUCAUGCACGAAAGCGUGGGGAGCAAACAGG
RNAcentral lists this ribosomal RNA (429 nucleotides) under Acidobacteriota bacterium. RNAcentral's name for it is "Acidobacteria bacterium partial 16S ribosomal RNA". It matches the Rfam family "Bacterial small subunit ribosomal RNA", at positions 355 to 776 of the family's 1533-position model. Lineage: Bacteria; Pseudomonadati; Acidobacteriota. The record is from RNAcentral.